CGUACCCAGGGCCUUUGCGCGGUUCAGAGGCUCUGGUACGGGAAGCAAAGGCCCUGGUAAACACUGGUCACGUGUGUCCAAAAAUAUUGGACAUUUCGUAAUAAUUUAGUUUCCAAUCCGGGGGGAGCGGACCCGAUUGAUUUUAUCAAACAUGGCAGCGCGAAGGCGCGACGUUUUCGAGUUUUUAUAUUAUUAUGAUAAAUAAAACUUUCCUAGUGAGAUUUAAAAGUGGGUAUAUAUUAUCUAUGCAUUCUACGAGCUUUCUUUCAACAAAUUGUGGAAUAGCUAACGGUAAUACUUAUCAAAGAUCGAAGGACGAAGAUCAAACUGAGCGAAAACUAGUCGAGUGAUCGACUGUCUUUAAACUGUCUAUUUUGUAUCCAAUGCAGCUGCUUGUGUGCGACGUUUUAUAAAGAAUUAAAUAAACAUUGUUGAUUAUAAGUAAUUUUUAUGUAUUGACCAAAGAAUAUCACUUGGGAUUUUAUUGUACUUUUAUGGAAGGAUAAAUCAGAGGGGACAUGCAUCUAUGGAAACGAAAUUCUUCAUGUGUAUUAAACAUGUAGUUAUCAAAGCAGAAUAUUUUGAAACAAUUAACUGGUCGAGUGACAGGUUGGUUUCCGUAUGUAUGUAGUUUAAAAUACAGUUGUGAAUGAAAUUAUACAUAGUAUCUUGAAACCUUUGUGUGUGUGAGUUAAUUUCAUAUUUAUUUUGUGGGAUGUAUCAUCUUUAUCAUGUGGGAUGUAUCACCUGAAUCAUGAGAAAUAAUAUACAGUGAUCUUGAAACAAC
Paramuricea clavata is the source of this 787-nucleotide non-coding RNA. The record is from the annotation of a GenBank genome assembly. Lineage: Eukaryota; Metazoa; Cnidaria; Anthozoa; Malacalcyonacea; Plexauridae.